UCAAAACACUGUUUUAGAGUUCUACAUCAUGGGCAGAAACAAAGAUACACACAUGCAAUGAUGGGAUCCUUUUCACCCACACUAUAGAUUACUGGCAAGCAGAGUUUUCAUGAAAUACUCUAGGAAUCCCUACGGAUUUCCCCUGAGUAGAGUGGGAUACACAGGGCCUGCAUUUAUACCUAAAGCUUGCAACUUAUCGCUGCACCUGAAUCUGAGCACCUGAUGAAGUACCUGACAUUGUACCAAAAAGACAUUUCUUCAAACUCUAGAAUCAUACCCAGACAAGCAAGAGGCCUUUAGCACUGGAUGGCUCCCAGUCAGGUCAAGUAAAGCUUGACAGCAAUGGCUGAAUCUGCCACGCAGCUCACAGGUUGGAGAAAAUUAACAGCAACGAUUGGACAAAAUUACAAUGGACCCAGAAGCAGUUAUCAGAAAAUGACUAUCACAUGGAGAUGGAUCUGAGACAAAUAAAGAACUUUUUGAAGUUU
Molecule: non-coding RNA, 488 nt
Organism: Macaca mulatta (Rhesus monkey)
Lineage: Eukaryota; Metazoa; Chordata; Mammalia; Primates; Cercopithecidae
Source: RefSeq, a predicted model, not a curated record